GACGUAGGUGGCGACCGUUAUCCGGAAUCAUUGGGCGUAAAGGGUGCGUAGAUGGCAUGAUAAGUUAUUAGUGGGAAAUCGAGGCUCAACCUCGUGGAAGCUAGUAAUACUGUUUUGCUUGAGUGCAGAAGAGGUUAACGGAAUUCCAUGUGGAGCGGUAAAAUGUGUAGAUAUAUGGAAGAACAUCAAUAACGGCGAAGGCAGUUAACUAUUCUGCUACUGACAUUGAGGCACGAAAGCGUGGGGAGCAAAACGG
RNAcentral lists this ribosomal RNA (256 nucleotides) under uncultured bacterium. Its description in RNAcentral is "partial 16S ribosomal RNA". It matches the Rfam family "Bacterial small subunit ribosomal RNA", at positions 524 to 776 of the family's 1533-position model. The record is from RNAcentral.